Molecule: ribosomal RNA, 440 nt
Filed under: uncultured bacterium
Lineage: Bacteria
Description: partial 16S ribosomal RNA
Rfam family: Bacterial small subunit ribosomal RNA
Source: RNAcentral
CCUACGGGUGGCUGCAGUGGGGGAUAUUGCACAAUGGGGGAAACCCUGAUGCAGCGACGCCGCGUGGGUGAAGAAGCGCCUCGGCGCGUAAAGCCCUGUCAGCAGGGAAGAAAAUGACGGUACCUGAAGAAGAAGCCCCGGCUAACUACGUGCCAGCAGCCCCGGUAAUAGGUAGGGGGCAAGCGUUAUCCGGAUUUACUGGGUGUAAAGGGGGCGCAGCCGGGGCUGCAAGCCAGGAGGGAAAGCCCGGGGCCCCCCCCCGGGACUGCUCUUGGAACGGCGGGGCUAGAGUGCAGGAGGGGCAGGCGGAAUUCCUGGUGUAGCGGUGAAAUGCGUAGAUAUCAGGAGGAACACCGGUGGCGAAGGCGGCCUGCUGGACUGCAACUGACGUUGAGGCCCGAGAGCGUGGGGAGCAAACAGGAUUAGAUACCCGGGUAGUC